GGUGCAUUAGCUAGUUGGUGAGGUAACGGCUCACCAAGGCGACGAUGCAUAGCCGACCUGAGAGGGUGAUCGGCCACAUUGGGACUGAGACACGGCCCAAACUCCUACGGGAGGCAGCAGUAGGGAAUCUUCGGCAAUGGACGAAAGUCUGACCGAGCAACGCCGCGUGAGUGAAGAAGGUUUUCGGAUCGUAAAACUCUGUUGUUAGAGAAGAACAAGGAUGAGAGUAACUGUUCAUCCCUUGACGGUAUCUAACCAGAAAGCCACGGCUAACUACGUGCCAGCAGCCGCGGUAAUACGUAGGUGGCAAGCGUUGUCCGGAUUUAUUGGGCGUAAAGCGAGCGCAGGCGGUUUCUUAAGUCUGAUGUGAAAGCCCCCGGCUCAACCGGGGAGGGUCAUUGGAAACUGGGAGACUUGAGUGCAGAAGAGGAGAGUGGAAUUCCAUGUGUAGCGGUGAAAUGCGUAGAUAUAUGGAGGAACACCAGUGGCGAAGGCGGCUCUCUGGUCUGUAACUGACGCUGAGGCUCGAAAGCGUGGGGAGCAAACAGGAUUAGAUACCCUGGUAGUCCACGCCGU
Molecule: ribosomal RNA, 576 nt
Filed under: uncultured bacterium
Lineage: Bacteria
Description: bacterial SSU rRNA
Rfam family: Bacterial small subunit ribosomal RNA
Source: RNAcentral